CAGAGGAAGGCAGCUCCAUUCUGCCUCCCAGGCUCCCGAUGAUCCUAGGAGGAGGGCCCUUCUGCACAGCUGGGCCUUGCCUGCCUGCCUGAGCACCCUGUCCCUGGUUCACCCUGGGAUCCACCACGGAAACCUCGGGACUCAGAGUUGCAAAUGCAUCUCACACCAGUUCUGCAAACCAAUUCCACUUGGACAUCUGAACAGUGAACUCAAGCAAACAGCGUAAAAGGCUGGGAGAUCUCUCUUAUCUGCCCGCUGUAUGGAGUUGCAUUGCAUGAGAAUCCAGGAACAAUGUGGCCUAACAAACACAGCCCCUGGCAUCCUUUCCUUGUUCCAGCUUAAUGACAAUAUCUGUGAUGCUUCCCCACGGAAUGUGAGAUGAAGUCUGACAUUUUGCUUUUCCUAAUUUUAGAAAAAUGUUAAAGAUUUAGAUUAAGAAUGAAUACCAAAUUUUAUUAACUGCCCCUGUGACAUUCGUUAAGACCGCACACAUGCAUUUCAUUAUGUAGUAGAUCAGCUGCUAUCAGGCAGCUGGCUUUCCAAGGGACUCGACUUGGUCCUGGUGGAUGCUGUCACGAACAAAUUUGGUCUUUGGGUUUGCUAAUGCUUACUUGGUUUUCCACUUGUAUUUUGUGUAAGUGGGAUGAGUGUGGGUGGGUGUGCAUGAGUAAAUCCCUGGGCUUGGAGUCCAGGCCAGUCCUGACAUCUGUGGGACCUAAGACAACGAGGCCAUGAAUAAAGGCCCUUGGGGCAGAGCACAGACAGAAGCCCACACUCUCUGUGCCUAGGCAUCCAAAAGGUGCGAACCAAACUGCUGAACCACUAAACAACAUAUUUUAUCUUGCCUUCUCAAAUAUACUCAUCCAAUGACCAAAAAAAAAAAAAAAAGGAUAA
Molecule: long non-coding RNA, 894 nt
Organism: Ictidomys tridecemlineatus (thirteen-lined ground squirrel)
Lineage: Eukaryota; Metazoa; Chordata; Mammalia; Rodentia; Sciuridae
Source: RefSeq, a predicted model, not a curated record